Molecule: long non-coding RNA, 780 nt
Filed under: Pan troglodytes (chimpanzee)
Lineage: Eukaryota; Metazoa; Chordata; Mammalia; Primates; Hominidae
Description: long non-coding RNA NONPTRT010229
Source: RNAcentral
GUUCACUCUGCGCUGUGUCUUCUCAUUUAGAUGCUCACUUUAGGACUAUGCCCUGCGGGCAGCUUCUGCACUUCCUGCAGAAAAACACCAUCAUCGCCACCGUCUCAGGGGUGGCCAUCCUCAUGGCCAUCGUGCUGUUGCUGCUUGGGUUGGCCUCAUACAUCAGGAAGAAACAGCCAUCAUCUCCUCUGGCAAACACGACAUAUAAUAUUUUUAUGAUGGAUGGAAAGACAUGGUGGCACAAUUCUGAAGAAAAAAAUUUCACAAAACAUGCAAAGAAACAGAAACAGUUGAAGAGCAGCUCCUGUGUCUAAGCCAGGUCCUGGGGCCAUCAAACCAGGACUUGAAACCACAAUGCGAGGACAUUCUCCAUCUGCGCACCACAGGGAGGCAAUUCCAUUUCUGCCCGGGAGGUGUAUUCUACAAAAACGUCUGCUUCCCAUCCCAAUUUGAAUGGACCAAGAAAAACUGCUUUACCAUAGGACACUUGUGGCAAUAUGGCACCAAUGGCUGGCGUCGGCGAACCCGACAGACUAUGGAUUUAUCAUUUAAUAAAGCAUUGAUUCAUUUUUUCAGUCAUUCAUUGAACAGAUAUUAAUAGACCACCUCACAUGCUGACAAUAUCAAAAUACAAUGAGGAAACUAACAGUGACCCAGGCAUGCAUUCUUCCCCGAGCAAGAUCACAGUCCAGAGUGUGAGCACAACCAUACUAAAUAGCUUUUAUGGGAGGUGGGAGUACACAAAGUAUUAUAUCUGCAAAGAAACUGCUAAGAAUUGUG